UACGGAGGGUGCAAACGUUGCUCGGAAUCAUUGGGCGUAAAGCGCACGUAGGCGGACCGUUAAGUCUGAUGUGAAAGUCCUCGGCUUAACCGAGGAAGUGCAUUCGAAACUGACGGUCUUGAGUAUGGAAGAGGGUCGCGGAAUUCCCGGUGUAGAGGUGAAAUUCGUAGAUAUCGGGAGGAACACCAGUGGCGAAGGCGGCGACCUGGGCCAAUACUGACGCUGAGGUGCGAAAGCGUGGGGAGCAAACAGG
Molecule: ribosomal RNA, 253 nt
Filed under: uncultured bacterium
Lineage: Bacteria
Description: partial 16S ribosomal RNA
Rfam family: Bacterial small subunit ribosomal RNA
Source: RNAcentral